Molecule: ribosomal RNA, 465 nt
Filed under: uncultured bacterium
Lineage: Bacteria
Description: partial 16S ribosomal RNA
Rfam family: Bacterial small subunit ribosomal RNA
Source: RNAcentral
GACGAACGCUGGCGGCGUGCUUAACACAUGCAAGUCGAACGGAAAGGCCCUGCUUGCAGGGUACUCGAGUGGCGAACGGGUGAGUAACACGUGGGUGAUCUGCCCUGCACUUCGGGAUAAGACUGGGAAACUGGGUCUAAUACCGGAUAGGAGCCAUUUUUAGUGUGAUGGUUGGAAAGUUUUUUCGGUGUAGGAUGAGCUCGCGGCCUAUCAGCUUGUUGGUGGGGUAAUGGCCUACCAAGGCGGCGACGGGUAGCCGGCCUGAGAGGGUGGACGGCCACAUUGGGACUGAGAUACGGCCCAGACUCCUACGGGAGGCAGCAGUGGGGAAUAUUGCACAAUGGGCGCAAGCCUGAUGCAGCGACGCCGCGUGGGGGAUGACGGCCUUCGGGUUGUAAACUCCUUUCGCUAGGGACGAAGCUUUUUGUGACGGUACCUAGAUAAGAAGCACCGGCUAACUACGUG